AUGGCCGCCGGGCGCCACGGAGGGUACAGGGACUACGAGGCCAGGGAGCGGGAGCCCGACGCCGAGGCCGCCAGGAGGAGCCAGAGCCUCGGCGACCGCCACCGGAGCGACGCCGACCGCCGCCGCGACGGCGGGCGCAGCAGCGGUGGCAGGGAAUUCUCCAACGGCUAUGGCCACCGCCGCUCGCACCCGCCCAAAAGCCGCCUCUCCACCAGGCUUGGGGACCGGGAGCCCGGCGAGGUGCUCAGCGGGAGUGCGUCAGAUGACUCUGGUGGGAGGUCAGGCAGAGCGGCGGGGGAAAACACCUUGGCCAGUUCUAGCAGGGAGGGCGAGGUGGCGGUGGGGGCGCCUGCUGCCCCUUCGCCCAGUAAAAAGAGGAAAUUUUCGCCCAUAAUUUGGGACAGGGAUAGCCCAAAGCCGCCGCCGUUGCAUUCUGGUGCAGUGACUGUGAAGGGAGUGGUGGAAUCCGCAUCUGCUGAUACAGCAAGUGACCAGAAAGUGGUGGAGUCCUCUUCUGCUCAACUCCCUCCCCCUCCUCCGCUGCCGCCACAGGGGCACAUCCCAGAGAGAUUGGUCGUGGAGAAUUCACCAAUGGAUGUGGACCUUGCUGUUGAUACUGGGAACAAUGAGCAGUUGCACGAGCUGGAGGAUAGUAAAGUGCUUGAGGUAGAGGAGAGUAAAGUAAAGGAUGAAGAGGAGAGUAAAGUAAAGGAGGAAGAGGAGUACCCAACAAUGAGGAACAUAUCAACUUCAAGGUGGGCAGGUGCUAACGAUGACGAGGAGGAGGGUGUAACACUGAGGAAGAAGAAAGGCUUAUCUCCUGCAGAUUCCGCUGAGCUGGGGCAGGGUAAGAAGACUCCUACUCCAGAACUUGGGGAGGUUGUGACCAGUGAUAUUUCUGGACGGAGGACCAUGUCAAGGUCAUCUGAUUCAGGGAGAAUGGGUAACGACGAGAAGGAAGAUUUGGAAUUAGGUAAAGGUGACUACAUGGAUGUUGAUAGAGGGGAGGCUAGUGUUAAUGGUUCAGCUAAUCUUCUAUCUUCUGAUUCGGAGGAUGAAGUGCGCAGGUCUGAAACCCCUGAGCCAGUGAAGCCGGCUCAUCGAUGUAUCAAUAUGCUGCAAGGUUGCAGAAGUGUUGAUGUGUUUGAGAGGCUCAACAAGAUUAAUGAAGGCACCUAUGGUGUUGUAUAUCGAGCAAAGGAUAAGAAGACUGCUGAGAUUGUUGCAUUGAAGAAGGUCAAGAUGGAAAAGGAGAGAGAAGGUUUCCCGUUGACCUCUCUUAGGGAAAUCAACAUCCUUUUAUCUUUCCAUCACCCUUCAAUUGUUGACGUUAAGGAAGUAGUAGUUGGCAGUAGUCUUGAUAGUAUUUUUAUGGUGAUGGAGUACAUGGAGCAUGAUCUUAAGGGUGUCAUGGAGACAAUGAAGCAGCCAUAUACCCAAAGUGAGGUCAAAUGCUUAAUGCUUCAGCUAUUAGAGGGUGUAAAAUAUCUUCAUGACAAUUGGGUACUUCAUAGGGAUUUGAAGACUUCAAAUCUAUUGCUGAAUAACCGUGGUGAGUUGAAAAUAUGUGAUUUUGGACUGUCUCGUCAAUAUGGGAGCCCACUAAAACCUUAUACUCAAUUGGUUGUGACUUUGUGGUACAGGUCACCUGAACUAUUGCUAGGAACAAAGGAAUACUCUACUGCUAUUGACAUGUGGUCCGUGGGCUGCAUUAUGGCAGAGCUUCUCGCCAAAGAACCACUGUUCAAUGGAAAAACAGAGUUUGAACAGCUAGACAAGAUAUUUAGAACACUUGGCACACCUAAUGAGAAGAUAUGGCCUGGUUAUGCCAAGUUACCUGGUGUCAAAGUCAACUUUGUUAAACAACCGUACAACAGAUUAAGGGAUAAGUUCCCAGCUGCGUCUUUUUCUGGGCGUCCAACCCUAUCUGAAGCUGGUUUUGAUCUGUUGAAUAAGCUCUUAACUUAUGAUCCUGCGAAGCGUAUAUCAGCUGAGGCUGCAUUGGAGCAUCCAUGGUUCAGUGAAGUACCUCUACCUAAGUCGAAGGACUUCAUGCCAACAUUUCCAGCUCUAAACGAACUGGACAGGCGUACCAGACGGUAUAUGAAGAGUCCUGAUCCUCUAGAGGAGCAACGGUUGAAAGAACUGCAAGCAAAAGGCAACCGUGGCCUUUUCGGCUGA
RNAcentral lists this ribosomal RNA (2181 nucleotides) under Triticum aestivum (bread wheat). RNAcentral's name for it is "partial small subunit ribosomal RNA". The record is from RNAcentral. Lineage: Eukaryota; Viridiplantae; Streptophyta; Magnoliopsida; Poales; Poaceae.